Molecule: ribosomal RNA, 397 nt
Filed under: uncultured bacterium
Lineage: Bacteria
Description: partial 16S ribosomal RNA
Rfam family: Bacterial small subunit ribosomal RNA
Source: RNAcentral
AUACGUAGGUGACAAGCGUUAUCCGGAUUUACUGGGCGUAAAGGGCGUGUAGGCGGUCUUGCAAGUCAGAAGUGAAAUUCCUGAGCUCAACUCGGGCGCUGCUUCUGACACUGCAGGACUUGAGUGCUGGAGGGGAUAGCGGAAUUCCUAGUGGAGCGGUAAAAUGCGCAGAUAUUAGGAAGAACACCGGUGGCGAAGGCGGCUAGCUGGCAAGUAACUGAGGCUGAGGCGCGAAAGCGUGGGGAGAAAACAGGAUUAGAUACCCUGGUAGGCCACGCCGUAAACGAUGAAUACUAGGUGUAGGGGGUAUCGACUCCCUCUGUGCCGCAGUUAACACAAUAAGUAUUCCGCCUGGGGAGUACGGCCGCAAGGUUGAAACUCAAAUGAAUUGACGGGG